AGUGGUGUAGCUUAGUGGUAGAGCACUGGCUAAGUAUGCCUGACACCCUGGGCCCAACCCCCAGUACUACUA
RNAcentral lists this transfer RNA (72 nucleotides) under Fukomys damarensis (Damara mole-rat). It matches the Rfam family "tRNA". Rfam says of the family: Transfer RNA (tRNA) molecules are approximately 80 nucleotides in length. Their secondary structure includes four short double-helical elements and three loops (D, anti-codon, and T loops). Lineage: Eukaryota; Metazoa; Chordata; Mammalia; Rodentia; Bathyergidae. The record is from Rfam by way of RNAcentral.